AAGACCUCGCGCUAUGGGAGCGGCCUAUGUCCGAUUAGCUAGUUGGUGAGGUAAAGGCUCACCAAGGCGACGAUCGGUAGCUGGUCUGAGAGGAUGAUCAGCCACACUGGAACUGAGACACGGUCCAGACUCCUACGGGAGGCAGCAGUGGGGAAUUUUGGACAAUGGGGGAAACCCUGAUCCAGCCAUUCCGCGUGAGUGAAGAAGGCCUUCGGGUUGUAAAGCUCUUUCGGCAGGGAAGAAACGGACACGGCUAAUACCCGUGUCUAAUGACGGUACCUGACUAAGAAGCACCGGCUAACUACGUGCCAGCAGCCGCGGUAAUACGUAGGGUGCGAGCGUUAAUCGGAAUUACUGGGCGUAAAGCGUGCGCAGGCGGUUUUGCAAGUCAGAUGUGAAAGCCCCGGGCUCAACCUGGGAACU
Molecule: ribosomal RNA, 423 nt
Filed under: uncultured bacterium
Lineage: Bacteria
Description: bacterial SSU rRNA
Rfam family: Bacterial small subunit ribosomal RNA
Source: RNAcentral